RNAcentral lists this ribosomal RNA (428 nucleotides) under uncultured bacterium. RNAcentral's name for it is "bacterial SSU rRNA". It matches the Rfam family "Bacterial small subunit ribosomal RNA", at positions 355 to 775 of the family's 1533-position model. The record is from RNAcentral.
UGGGGAAUUUUGGACAGUGGGCGCAAGCCUGAUCCAGCAAUGCCGCGUGAGUGAAGAAGGCCUUCGGGUUGUAAAGCUCUUUUGUCAGGGAAGAAACGGGACUGGCUAAUAUCUGGUUCUAAUGACGGUACCUGAAGAAUAAGCACCGGCUAACUACGUGCCAGCAGCCGCGGUAAUACGUAGGGUGCAAGCGUUAAUCGGAAUUACUGGGCGUAAAGCGUGCGCAGGCGGUUUUGUAAGUCUGUCGUGAAAGCCCCGGGCUUAACCUGGGAAUUGCGAUGGAGACUGCAAGGCUUGAAUCUGGCAGAGGGGGGUAGAAUUCCACGUGUAGCAGUGAAAUGCGUAGAGAUGUGGAGGAACACCGAUGGCGAAGGCAGCCCCCUGGGUCAAGAUUGACGCUCAUGCACGAAAGCGUGGGGAGCAAACAG